This is a non-coding RNA of Camelina sativa (false flax), 1370 nucleotides long. The record is from RefSeq and is a predicted model, not a curated record. NCBI's taxonomy places the organism in Eukaryota, Viridiplantae, Streptophyta, Magnoliopsida, Brassicales, Brassicaceae.
CUAGGUCUCAACAUCUCUUUAAACACUGAGACUCUUCUUCUUCUUCUUUCACUCUCUUCACCGAACCAAAAAAAAAAAAAUUAGGAGAGAUACCUUUUCGCUCUCUUUCUAAUGGCGUAAGAUUGUUUUUUUUGAUUCCUCCUUUCUCUAUUUUUUGAAGAACGAAGAAGAUUCAAAGCAGAGCAGAGCAGAGCUAGGGUUUAUGAUUGAAGACCCAGAAUUAGGGUUCUCUUUGUCUUCUAAUUGAUGAAUGAAUUAGCAAGCAGGAUAUGGUUUCCAUGGCGUUUCUUCUUCUUCUUCUUCUUCUUCUUCUCCAGCUUUCUCUCAUCUGAUUUGAUCGACCAACUAAAGUCUAAAGGAAGAUAUUGGUGGCAAGUGAUGAUCGGAGGAGCCGGAUGAUGGCGUUUCUUCUUCUGAUUUGACCGACCGCCAAGUACAGGUUUCAUAAAUCCUAGGGUUUUUUGGUUUUAAUCUAAUUCUGGUAUAUGUUGUGCAGGUCAGAGAGAUGGAUUGAAGAAUGACGAAGAAGAAUACUCAAGUCUGCUUUAUCUCAAAGAGAUGGAUUGGAGAGUGAAGAAGAAGAAGAAGACUGCUUAAGUGAUCCCAAUGGAUGUUAUAAGAAGACACUCUGAAUUUUUAGGCAAUUCGUUCCAUUGCUCACAGUUACUCAAUACUUCCCAUCCAUAAGUGAAACUGAGACUUUUUGGUUUUGUUGUUGCUGCUUCUAUACAUGAUGAAGAUAUAUAUGGUGCACUUCCUUCCCAUUGAUGUUAAGGAUGAUGCUGAAUUAUGGACCCUAAGGAUGGCAACAAAAUCCUCUUCUUCUUUAUUGGUCUGUGCUACUCAAGUGUGUGUGAGUGAUUAUGACCUUAACCAUGGAAUACUCCUCUUCUUGCUUUGUGCUACUGAAGUUGGAACUCGACAAGGCACUAGAAUUCAGCGCACCACCCUUUGAACUAAAAGGUACUUGUCAUUGCCUCAUGCCAACAAUUCUCAUCCACAGAUGUGUGCUCGAGUGUUCCUACCAGAUUUUUGGAGGAUGAAGUAGAUUCAGAACAAAAACGGUUGAUGGAGAGGGUUUUUAAGGUAACAACAUCAAACUAAAUUUUGAAGGCAAGUGGUUCCAUGGCGUUUCUUCUUCUUCAACUUUCUCUCAUCUGGUUUGAUCGACCAACUAAAGGAAGAUAUUGGUGCCAAACGAUGAUCGGAGGAGCCGGAUGAUGGCGUUUCUUCUUCUGAUUUGACCGACCGCCAAGUACAGGUCAGAGAGAUGGAUUGAAGAAUGAAGAAGAAGAAUACUCAAGUCUGCUUUAUCUCAGAGAGAUGGACUGAACAGUGAAGAAGAAGAAGACUUAAGCAGACUGCUUAAG